AUUGAACGCUGGCGGCAGGCCUAACACAUGCAAGUCGAGCGGUAGAGAGGUGCUUGCAUCUCUUGAGAGCGGCGGACGGGUGAGUAAUGCCUAGGAAUCUGCCUAGUGGUGGGGGAUAACGUUCGGAAACGGACGCUAAUACCGCAUACGUCCUACGGGAGAAAGCGGGGGAUCUUCGGACCUCGCGCCAUUAGAUGAGCCUAGGUCGGAUUAGCUAGUUGGUGAGGUAAUGGCUCGACCAAGGCGACGAUCCGUAACUGGUCUGAGAGGAUGAUCAGUCACACUGGAACUGAGACACGGUCCAGACUCCUACGGGAGGCAGCAGUGGGG
Molecule: ribosomal RNA, 330 nt
Filed under: uncultured bacterium
Lineage: Bacteria
Description: bacterial SSU rRNA
Rfam family: Bacterial small subunit ribosomal RNA
Source: RNAcentral